RNAcentral lists this transfer RNA (70 nucleotides) under Heterocephalus glaber (naked mole-rat). It matches the Rfam family "tRNA". Rfam says of the family: Transfer RNA (tRNA) molecules are approximately 80 nucleotides in length. Their secondary structure includes four short double-helical elements and three loops (D, anti-codon, and T loops). The record is from Rfam by way of RNAcentral. Lineage: Eukaryota; Metazoa; Chordata; Mammalia; Rodentia; Bathyergidae.
GGGGAUUUAGCUCAGUGGUUCCGGCGUCUGCCUCACAAGCAGAAGGACCGAGGUUAGAUUCCCGGAACCA